RNAcentral lists this ribosomal RNA (433 nucleotides) under uncultured prokaryote. Its description in RNAcentral is "partial 16S ribosomal RNA". The record is from RNAcentral.
CCCUAUGGGGUGCAGCAGGCCAAUGUUCACAAAAAUCCGGCGCCUUUGAAGAUAGUCGAUGAUAUGUUGCAGGACCUUCGCGAUGCCUGGGCGAAAAUGCUUGUAAAGAAAAAUGAUGAGGGUUCCUCGCAAGAAGCCGAUGCGGCUUCCGAUGCUACUGAGGAAAAAGAGGCCCCUUCUCCCGGAGAGCGCGUUGGCGGAAGUUUGAACGCAAGCGCCUAAUAUCAUUAUAAAGGUUGCUUUUUGGCCGAUUCCGGUCCAGCAUCAUAUCUUUGUCAAAUGAGUACGCCAGAAGAAAAAGUAAAGGUUUUGGCGGGGGAACUCGAAAAGUUUAUCGCUGAUGAACUUUUUGCCAUCGAACAGGAGGAUUGGGACUUUUUCGGGGUGCUUCUGGAGAAGAAAGAACGGCACUUGAAGGAAUUGGCGGGAGGGC